Molecule: ribosomal RNA, 290 nt
Filed under: uncultured bacterium
Lineage: Bacteria
Description: partial 16S ribosomal RNA
Rfam family: Bacterial small subunit ribosomal RNA
Source: RNAcentral
GUGGAUUAGAUACCCUGGUAGUCCUAGCUGUAAACGAUGUGAACUUGGCGUCGGUGGGUUUAAAUCCAUCGGUGCCGAAGCUAACGCGAUAAGUUCACCACCUGGGGACUACGGCCGCAAGGUUAAAACUCAAAGGAAUUGACGGGGGCCCGCACAAGCAGCGGAGCGUGUGGUUUAAUUCGAUGUUACACGAAGAACCUUACCAGGGUUUGACAUACAAGUGGUAGUGAAUCGAAAGAGGAACGACCCUUCGGGGAGCUUGAACAGGUGUUGCACGGCCGUCGCCAACU